RNAcentral lists this ribosomal RNA (157 nucleotides) under uncultured bacterium. Its description in RNAcentral is "partial 16S ribosomal RNA". It matches the Rfam family "Bacterial small subunit ribosomal RNA", at positions 355 to 509 of the family's 1533-position model. The record is from RNAcentral.
UGAGGAAUAUUGGUCAAUGGGAGAGAUCCUGAACCAAGCCAAGCCGCGUGAGGGAAGACGGCCCUAUGGGUUGUAAACCUCUUUGUCGGAGAACAAAACCCGGGACGUGUCCCGGACUGCGUGUAUCCGAAGAAAAAGCAUCGGCUAACUCCGUGCC